This 388-nucleotide ribosomal RNA is filed under the name uncultured bacterium. RNAcentral's name for it is "bacterial SSU rRNA". It matches the Rfam family "Bacterial small subunit ribosomal RNA", at positions 30 to 417 of the family's 1533-position model. The record is from RNAcentral.
AUUGAACGCUGGCGGCAUGCCUUACACAUGCAAGUCGAACGGCUGCGGACCUUCGGGUGCCGGCGAGUGGCGAACGGGUGAGUAAUAUAUCGGAACGUACCUUUCAGUGGGGGAUAACGUAGCGAAAGUUACGCUAAUACCGCAUAUUCUGUGAGCAGGAAAGCAGGGGAUCGCAAGACCUUGCGCUGAUUGAGCGGCCGAUAUCAGAUUAGCUAGUUGGUGAGGUAAAGGCUCACCAAGGCGACGAUCUGUAGCGGGUCUGAGAGGAUGAUCCGCCACACUGGAACUGAGACACGGUCCAGACUCCUACGGGAGGCAGCAGUGGGGAAUUUUGACGAAUGGGCGGCAAGACCUGAUCCAGCCAUGCCGCCGUGAGUGAAGAAAGGCC